GCAACAACAGAAAUAUCAUUGUAGACGUAUAUGG
This 34-nucleotide non-coding RNA is filed under the name Trypanosoma brucei brucei. The record is from RNAcentral. Lineage: Eukaryota; Euglenozoa; Kinetoplastea; Trypanosomatida; Trypanosomatidae.